Molecule: ribosomal RNA, 254 nt
Filed under: uncultured bacterium
Lineage: Bacteria
Description: partial 16S ribosomal RNA
Rfam family: Bacterial small subunit ribosomal RNA
Source: RNAcentral
UACGUAGGGGGCAAGCGUUGUCCGGAUUUAUUGGGCGUAAAGAGCGUGUAGGCGGUCAGGUAGGUCCGUUGUGAAAACCCGAGGCUCAACCUCGGACUUGCAGUGGGUACGGGCAGACUAGAGUGUGGUAGGGGGAGACUGGAAUUCCUGGUGUAGCGGUGGAAUGCGCAGAUAUCAGGAGGAACACCGAUGGCGAAGGCGGUUCUCUGGGCAUUACCUGACGCUGAGGAGCGAAAGUGUGGGGAGCGAACAGG